This 810-nucleotide ribosomal RNA is filed under the name uncultured bacterium. RNAcentral describes it as "bacterial SSU rRNA". It matches the Rfam family "Bacterial small subunit ribosomal RNA", at positions 8 to 796 of the family's 1533-position model. The record is from RNAcentral.
AGAGUUUGAUCCUGGCUCAGAACGAACGCUGGCGGCGUGGAUAAGACAUGCAAGUCGGACGAGAUUUUUCGUUGUAGCAAUACGAUGGAAAGUCUAGUGGCGAACGGGUGCUUAACACGUGGGCAACCUGCCGAGAAGUGGGGGAUAGCUCGCCGAAAGGCGAAUUAAUACCGCAUGUGAUUAGAGUGGACAUCCAUUCGAAAUUAAAGUCGGGGCAACCUGACGCUUCUUGUGGGGCCCGCGGCCUAUCAGCUAGUUGGUGAGGUAAUGGCUCACCAAGGCUUUGACGGGUAGCUGGUCUGAGAGGACGACCAGCCACACUGGGACUGAGACACGGCCCAGACACCUACGGGUGGCAGCAGUCGAGAAUUUUUCUCAAUGGGGGAAACCCUGAAGGAGCGACGCCGCGUGGAGGAUGAAGGUCUUCGGAUUGUAAACUCCUGUCAUUGGGGAACAAUGCGUGAUGGUUAACUGCCGUCGCGUUGAUAGUACCCGAAGAGGAAGAGACGGCUAACUCUGUGCCAGCAGCCGCGGUAAUACAGAGGUCUCAAGCGUUGUUCGGAUUCAUUGGGCGUAAAGGGUGCGUAGGCGGCGCGGUAAGUCGGGUGUGAAAUCUCGGAGCUUAACUCCGAAACUGCAUUCGAUACUGCCGUGCUUGAGGACUGGAGAGGAGACUGGAAUUUACGGUGUAGCGGUGAAAUGCGUAGAUAUCGUAAGGAAGACCAGUGGCGAAGGCGGGUCUCUGGACAGUUCCUGACGCUGAGGCACGAAGGUCAGGGGAGCAAACGGGAUUAGAUACCCUAGUAGUCC